UCCCCCCCUUCCACUUAUCUGUUCUAGUUAUUGUUCCAUUUUAAUCUAGGUAUUUAUUAUUUUAUGGGUAGAUUAUCACUUUUACAUUUUUCUGCUCUAAUUCAUCAUGCAUAUCACUUUGAGAAUGUUUUUCUCUAGCUUAGAAGUUUAACAGUGAUUUCUUAGUACUUAUUAGAUCAGAUAUUAACUCUUUAGUCUUUUUUUUUUGACUAUCUCUGCAUCAACUGAUUUCUGCUUACUGAGAUAAUAAUCUCUUCUCAUUCGGUUUAAAUCAUUUUGAAUUGAGUUCAGUUCCAGUAAUACCAAAAUCAUGGCUUCAGUUCAAAACAGUCAAAUUUAUUUGUUCACUUUUAGAACUACAGAUGACAGGGUAUU
Molecule: long non-coding RNA, 375 nt
Filed under: Bos taurus (domestic cattle)
Lineage: Eukaryota; Metazoa; Chordata; Mammalia; Artiodactyla; Bovidae
Description: long non-coding RNA NONBTAT022188
Source: RNAcentral